Molecule: non-coding RNA, 463 nt
Filed under: Pongo abelii (Sumatran orangutan)
Lineage: Eukaryota; Metazoa; Chordata; Mammalia; Primates; Hominidae
Source: RNAcentral
UGUGGGCGGCUGAGGACCGCCGGCUGCCCGGCUCGGAGAAGAACAGGUGCAGUGGCUCACACCCAUAAUCCCAGCACUUUGGGAGGCCAAAGCAGGUGGGUCACUUGAGGUCAGGAGUUCAAGACCAGCCUGGGCAACAUGGCGAAACCCCGUUUCUGCUAAAACUCAAAAAUUAGCCUGGAACUCUCUCUUCUAUUCUCAGAGUCUACAAAAUGCAUUAUUGAAAAGGCAGGAAGAAAACCGGGCUUUAUCAAGAAAGUCGCAUGCGCUUGACUGAGGGACUUUCCCUUUCGUCCGGCGAAGGUCUGGUGAGUCCAAUGGGGGAGUGGAAUUCGUUCCGGUGAUCCUCUCGGUCGCUCCCGUCGUACGAACUGCUACAGCUGCUCAAGCUGUCAACAGGAGAUCUCCCCGCCUCGUGGCGCGUGUGUUGUGGGUAUCUCGAAGGGGUGGUGGUACGGUCUCU